RNAcentral lists this ribosomal RNA (558 nucleotides) under uncultured Oceanospirillales bacterium. RNAcentral describes it as "bacterial SSU rRNA". It matches the Rfam family "Bacterial small subunit ribosomal RNA", at positions 35 to 582 of the family's 1533-position model. The record is from RNAcentral. Lineage: Bacteria; Pseudomonadati; Pseudomonadota; Gammaproteobacteria; Oceanospirillales.
GCUGGCGGCAGGCCUAACACAUGCAAGUCGAGCGGUAGCACAGAGAAGCUUGCUUCUUGGGUGACGAGCGGCGGACGGGUGAGUAACGCGUAGGAAUCUACCUAAUGGUGGGGGAUAGCCCAGGGAAACUUGGAUUAAUACCGCAUAAGUCCUAAGGGAGAAAGCGGGGGAUCUUCGGACCUCGUGCCAUUAGAUGAGCCUGCGUAAGAUUAGCUAGUUGGUGAGGUAAGAGCUCACCAAGGCGACGAUCUUUAGCUGGUCUGAGAGGAUGAUCAGCCACACUGGGACUGAGACACGGCCCAGACUCCUACGGGAGGCAGCAGUGGGGAAUAUUGGACAAUGGGGGCAACCCUGAUCCAGCCAUGCCGCGUGUGUGAAGAAGGCCUUCGGGUUGUAAAGCACUUUCAGCAGUGAGGAAAGGUUACAGAUUAAUACUCUGUAGCUGUGACGUUAACUGCAGAAGAAGGACCGGCUAACUCCGUGCCAGCAGCCGCGGUAAUACGGAGGGUCCGAGCGUUAAUCGGAAUUACUGGGCGUAAAGCGCGCGUAGGUGGUUUC